GGGAUCAAAAGAAUCCACAUCAAAAUGAAAGAUGAAGUGUUGAAUCUGAAUUCACAGCUGCUUUAUGCAAUCUAGAAAGAGUUCAAGCUGGAGUGCAUGGCACAAUCCUGGCUCACUGCAACCUCUGCCUCCUGGGCUCAAGGCAUCCUUCCACCUCAGCCUCCCAAGUAAUUGAGACUACAGGAGAGAAAACAAUGCGGUCAUCUAGAAUGACAGAUUGUCAUCACUGGGGCACGGGAGAGGGGUUGAGCAAGUCAAUGGAUGUUUUCUAGAGCCUAGAGAAUAUGUGUGAUACUCUGAAGUAUAUUUUUUCUAAAUCCCAGAUUCCAGCAUUAAGCACUGUGCAGUUUUGAGAGAAGAAGUUAUAAAGCAAAACUGACUUGAGUAACCACCAGCCCAACCUUCGGGACUUUGUGGGGAUUGCUAUGGCUCCCCUGGACUUACAAGCAAUAGUGAUGCAGAACCUGCCAUCAAUAUGUGUAAUGCUUGUCAAAAAAUAAUCACCCAAGUAAUGUUUUAAAUUUUACUGGUCAGUGCACUACCAAUACUAGUUUUGGCAUAGCAGAUACUAAAUAACAAAGCUUUGUUUCGAAUAAAUGUUUGUUCAGUUUCUACUUUUUGCUAAAUCCCGUGAUGAUGUGCUCCCACUUGAUAGCAUGUUAUACUGUACUAGUAAAUUUUACUUGCUGUUUAACAAAGGAGGAUUAAAUGAAUGGUGUGUUACAGUGGGUAUACUGACAGGAAAGGCAUGAGAAAAAACUAUCUAAAUACAACUGAGGGAAGAAUUAAGUGUUGAAGGGAAGGUGAAAAUGUGCACUGAGAUUGGAUGGGUGAGUAGGACUUCAGAGAGUGGAGAAGGCUCUAUGGCUUUUUAAUGGAAACAAUAGCAUGAGAUAAAUAUCAGGGCUAUGGAAAUGCAUACUGCACCGGGGCAAUGUUUGUAAGUCUGAGAUGGUUGAAGAAUACGGUUUAGGAAGAGAUACAGUGAAAAAUAAAGCUUAGAACUGAGACAAACUGUCUCCAGCCCUGGAUUCUCAGUUAUUCCAUUUGAAACCUAGUAAUAUAAACAACUUGAAUGCAUUACAAAGGUUUUGAUCUGACUUGGGCUUUGGAAAGAGAUUUCUGACUUUCUGUAGCUCAAAACUAUAAGCAGCUUAUAUUUCUUCUUUACUCCUUUUUUUCUAAAAUAAGGAUAAUGAUACCCAUCUGACAGAAAUUUUAUGAGCAUAAUGUAAAAUUAAACAUGGAAUCCAUGGCGCUUUACAAAAUAAUGUGUAUUGUCUCUCCACAGAAUGAAGGCGUAUUUGAUACUAUUAACAUAGAAGUCUUGAAAAUAGAAAAAAACACUUCUUGGGUGGUGAAAACUUUCCAGUAUGGUAAAAGUUAAUUAGAAUUUGUGUGAAUUAUACUGUAUAAUUACCAAGGCAAGCACAGUAAUAUGAAUUUAAAAUAGUAAGAGUAAGAUUAAAGGCAUAUAAUUUAGUUCAAAUGUGACAUCUUGACAACCUGCAAAA
Non-coding RNA from Macaca mulatta (Rhesus monkey), 1514 nucleotides. Lineage: Eukaryota; Metazoa; Chordata; Mammalia; Primates; Cercopithecidae. The record is from RefSeq and is a predicted model, not a curated record.